Chanos chanos (milkfish) is the source of this 173-nucleotide long non-coding RNA. RefSeq lists it as uncharacterized. The transcript is spliced from 3 exons. The record is from RefSeq and is a predicted model, not a curated record. Lineage: Eukaryota; Metazoa; Chordata; Actinopteri; Gonorynchiformes; Chanidae.
AUACCUGCCUCCAUUCUGGCCAGUUGUGAAGUACCCUGCACAUUGUGGUUUUGUGAUUGUUUAAGGAACAUGCUUCCAAUGCCCACAGUCUCUUUUCACCAUCUUUUCAGACUGAUUUCGGACCUUCCUUUUCGACUACACUGUAUAUGUGCCUUCCGUCUGGAUUAAAAGAG